RNAcentral lists this long non-coding RNA (1005 nucleotides) under Coffea arabica (coffee). RNAcentral describes it as "long non-coding RNA (CARA_LNC004402)". Lineage: Eukaryota; Viridiplantae; Streptophyta; Magnoliopsida; Gentianales; Rubiaceae. The record is from RNAcentral.
UUUUGUCCAAAAUUUCUUAACAUGUUGAGUUGAAUUACUUAUAAGGUGAAGUGACUAAAAAAUAACGUUAUGGGGCAAACUGAUAGUAGUGAUAUAGUUUAAGGGGGUAAAGUGAUAAUAACCCUUAAUUGAAUGGCAUCUGUUCCAGUACUAUUAGCCUCGUCACACUCAACUCCACCCCUUAACAAGGUUUUAUUGGUAGUAGAUUGCCUAAAUCAUGUCGGGGCUCACUAAUCUACUUAUCGAAGCACAAUUUCUUUUAUUGAAUUUUACAGUGAAAUUAAAAAUUACAACACAUCCCAAUAGAAAAACAAAAAUCACUUCACUUCUAGUCUUUUUACAUGAAGAUUCUAACAAAAAUUCGGUCUAAUCAUUGAUAGGUCACUCAUAUGGCACCUCAGCAACCAAAUCAGCAUGUGCAAAAUCUAUUUAUGUUGGAGGUGAGCUACACAGUUUAAUGAGACCCCUAGGCUUAUGUUUUAGACGCAUAGAUAGACCUAAUAUAAAUUGUACUCAACAAGCAAAGAAAAAAUAAAUAAAUCAUAAUACAAUAAAGGAUACGACAUUGAUUGUUGGUGACAAUCCUGUUUCACCUUAUACUACCAUUACGAGUUCAACCUCCUACUCCUAAUCAAUAAGUCAGUUCUAAAAAUACCUUUUACUCUUGAUCUAAUAAGUGAACAACCUCCUACCCAAGUAUUGCAUUGGGACCAAUGUGUGCAAUGACGUUCGACAUAACUCUUGCUUGCUUGACGGAUCAAGGCACAAUACUGGCAUAACUACUUGUACCAGUGUGAUAAAGUACACAAUUGAUACGGUCAAACACAUGCAAUCACGAUUCACUCUUUGACAUAACAAAUUCAUGAACAUUUCCUGAUGUGGUAAAGAAUACAACCGGCAAAUGAUUCAAUUCACUUGUAGACUAAUUCAAUGAUCAAGUACAAUCAUCAUGUAUUUAAUAUAAUAGUCGCACAUUAAUCAUUUAUGAUCACUCAUCAGUUAAAU